ACGCCUAACACAUGCAGUCGAACGAAGUAGCAAUACUUAGUGGCAGACGGGUGAGUAACAUGUGGGUAUCUACCCUUUGGCCUGGAAUAACACGAGGAAACUUGUGCUAAUACCGGAUAAGUCUUUACGGAGAAAGCUUUAUGCACCAUUGGAUGAGCCCGCACUUGAUUAGUUUGUUGGUAGGGUAAUGGCCUACCAAGACUAUGAUCAAUAGCUGAUUUGAGAGGAUGAUCAGCCACAUUGGGACUGAGACACGGCCCAAACUCCUACGGGAGGCAGCAGUGGGGAAUCUUGCACAAUGGAGGAAACUCUGAUGCAGCGAUGCCGCGUGAGUGAAGAAGGCCUUUGGGUUGUAAAGCUCUUUCGUCGGGGAAGAAAAUGAC
This 383-nucleotide ribosomal RNA is filed under the name uncultured bacterium. Its description in RNAcentral is "bacterial SSU rRNA". It matches the Rfam family "Bacterial small subunit ribosomal RNA", at positions 44 to 455 of the family's 1533-position model. The record is from RNAcentral.